AAAUUGAAGAGUUUGAUCAUGGCUCAGAUUGAACGCUGGCGGCAGGCCUAACACAUGCAAGUCGAACGGUAACAGGAAACAGCUUGCUGUUUCGCUGACGAGUGGCGGACGGGUGAGUAAUGUCUGGGAAACUGCCUGAUGGAGGGGGAUAACUACUGGAAACGGUAGCUAAUACCGCAUAACGUCGCAAGACCAAAGAGGGGGACCUUCGGGCCUCUUGCCAUCAGAUGUGCCCAGAUGGGAUUAGCUAGUAGGUGGGGUAACGGCUCACCUAGGCGACGAUC
This 284-nucleotide ribosomal RNA is filed under the name Escherichia coli. Its description in RNAcentral is "partial 16S ribosomal RNA". It matches the Rfam family "Bacterial small subunit ribosomal RNA", at positions 1 to 281 of the family's 1533-position model. The record is from RNAcentral. Lineage: Bacteria; Pseudomonadati; Pseudomonadota; Gammaproteobacteria; Enterobacterales; Enterobacteriaceae.